Molecule: non-coding RNA, 553 nt
Organism: Arabidopsis thaliana (thale cress)
Lineage: Eukaryota; Viridiplantae; Streptophyta; Magnoliopsida; Brassicales; Brassicaceae
Source: RefSeq
UGCUUUUUGAAGAACAAUGAAUUGAAACACAUAAAUUUAUGGGUUUCAAUCUGUGGCCAACUGUAAUGGCGGAGGAAUCUUUGUUCAGGUGCCGAAUAUCUCUUACAAGUUGUACAUGGUGAGAUCCCUCACACGUUUUUUUGACUCAAGCUAAACGAUCUCCGCUGCUGAGAUUGUUGUUCAUGUUCUUGAUUAUCUUUACAAGAAGCUGGAUGAAGUAUGUCUUGUACAAGGUGGUGAGGUUGUGACCGUGUUCAUGAGUUUCUGUGUUUUUUUAACAUAUCUUUGUUGGUGGUCACUUUCGUAAUUGAAUUAGCGAUAAAUAUUUGGACGAGGUGGAAGGAUUUCACAUGCUGUUGCAAAUGUUUGCUGGAAGUUUAUUGCCAUAUAUAGAGGGUUCGUAUUCAUGGUAACUCUUGAUGAUCCUUUUAAGAGGUCAGUGUUAUAAACUUCACAUUAAUUACAUGGCUGCCAAUAUCAUUACCACACAGCUCUGUUUUGUUUUUUUACUCUACAUGUCUUCUCAUUAAAAAUGAGCUAUAAAAAAAGGUAA